GGGGGGGGGGGGGGGGGGGGGGGGCGGGUGCGGGGCGGGCGGGAGGGCUGCUGCUUGCGGGGGUGCUUGAGUGGCGGACGGGUGAGUAACACGUGGGGGAUCUGCCCUGCACUUCGGGGUCCGCCUGGGAACCUGGGUCUCAUGCCGGAUCGGACGAUGGUUUGGAUGCCCUUGUGGAAAGCUUUUUCGGUGUGGGAUGAGCUCGCGGCCUAUCAGCUUGUUGGUGGGGUAAUGGCCUACCAAGGCGUCGACGGGUAGCCGGCCUGAGAGGGUGUACGGCCACAUUGGGACUGAGAUACGGCCCAGACUCCUACGGGAGGCAGCAGUGGGGAAUAUUGCACAAUGGGCGCAAGCCGGAUGCAGCGACGCCGCGUGGGGGAUGACGGCCUUCGGGUUGUAAACUCCUUUCGCUAGGGACGAAGCGCAAGUGACGGUACCUGGAGAAGAAGCACCGGCUAACUACGUG
This 466-nucleotide ribosomal RNA is filed under the name uncultured bacterium. Its description in RNAcentral is "partial 16S ribosomal RNA". It matches the Rfam family "Bacterial small subunit ribosomal RNA", at positions 35 to 507 of the family's 1533-position model. The record is from RNAcentral.